Molecule: non-coding RNA, 75 nt
Organism: Parelaphostrongylus tenuis
Lineage: Eukaryota; Metazoa; Nematoda; Chromadorea; Rhabditida; Metastrongylidae
Source: the annotation of a GenBank genome assembly
GCGUCGGUAGUGCAAUGGAUUAGAACACGCGCGUCCGGAUAAGGUGAAAUGCGGGUUCGACUCCUGCCUGGCGCA